NNNNNNNNNNNNNNNNNNNNNNNUCUGUAUGGGGCCUGGGGGUCUCUAUGGGUCCCUAUGGGGCCUUAUGGGUCUCUAUGGGGUCCCUAUGGGGUCUCUAUGGAUUUCUGUGGGGUCUGUGGGUCCCUGGGGGGUCUCUGUGGGGUCUUAUAGGACUCUAUGGGGUCUCUAUGGAUUUCUAUGGGGUCUGUGGGUCCCUAUGGGAUCUUAUAGGACUCUAUGGGGUCUCUAUGGAUUUCUAUGGGGUCUCUAUGGAUUUCUGUGGGGUCUGUGGGUCCCUGGGGUCUCUGUGGGGUCUUAUAGGAUUCUAUGGGGUCUCUAUGGAUUUCUGUGGGGUCCCUAUGGGUCCCUGUGGGUCUCUAUUGGAUCUUAUAGGAUUCUAUAGGGUCUCUAUGGAUUUCUGGGGGGUCUGUGGGUCCCUGUGGGUCUCUAUGGGAUCUUAUAGGAUUCUAUAGGGUCUCUAUGGAUUUCUAUGGGAUCUAUGGGUCCCCGUGGGUCCCUGUGGGGUUCCUAUGGGUCUUUAUGGUGUCUAUAGGGCCCUAUAAGUCUCAGAGGAGUCUCCCGUGGGUCGCUAUGGGGUUCUGUGAGUCCCUAUGGAUCCCUAUGGGUCUCUAUGGGCCUGUAUGUGUCCCUAUAUGCCCCUAUAUGCCCCUAUAUGUCCCUAUAUGUCCCCAGCUGUCCCUACAGCUCUCUCUGUGUCCCUCUGGGGCGCUGCAUGUCCCUAUGGCUCUCUACGGGUCCCUAUAUGUCCCCACACGUCCCUAUGGCUCUCUAUAGAUCCCCAAGUGUCCCUAUAUGCCCCAACUUGGCCCUAUAUGUCCCCACGUGUCCCAACAGCUCCCUAUGCGUCCCUAUGAGGUUCUGUAUGUCCCUAUGGCUCCCUAUGGCUCCCUAUAUGUCCCUAUGGGUCCCUAUGGGUCCCUAUGUGUCCCUGUAUGUCCCUAUAUGUCCCCAUGUGUCCCCAUGUGUCCCUAUGUGUCCCUAUAUGUCCCUAUAUGUCCCCAUGGAUUCCUAUGGCUCUCUAUGGGUCCCUAUACGUCCCUAUACGUCCCUAUGGGUCUCUAUGGGGCAAUGUGGGUCCCCAUACAUCCCCACACGUCCCCACGUGUCCCCUAUAUCUCUCCCUACGCGUCCCUAUGGGGCGCUGUGCGUCCCUAUGGGUCCCUAUAUGUCCCCAUAUGUCCCCAUAUGUCGCUAUGGCUCUCUAUGGGUCCCUAUACGUCCCUAUAUGUCCCUAUGGGUCUCUAUGGGGCAAUGUGGGUCCCUAUAUGUCCCUAUGGGUUCCUAUGGGGCGCUGUGGGUCCCUAUACGUCCCUAUACGUCCUUAUGUGUCCCCAUGGAUUCCUAUGGGGCGCUGUGGGUCCCUAUAUGUCCCUAUGGCUCUCUAUGGGUCCCUAUAUGUCCCUAUAUGUCCCUAUAUGUCCCCAUGGAUUCCUAUGGCUCUCUAUGGGUCCCUAUAUGUCCCUAUAUGUCCCUAUGGAUCUCUAUGGGGCAAUGUGGGUCCCUAUAUGUCCCUAUGUCUCUCUAUGGGUCCCUAUACGUCCCUAUAUGUCCCUAUGGGUCUCUAUGGGGCAAUGUGGGUCCCUAUAUGUCCCUAUAUGUCCCCAUAUGUCCCCAUGUGUCGCUAUGGCUCUCUGGGUCCCUAUGUAUCCCCAUGGAUUCCUAUGGGGCAAUGUGGGUCCCUAUAUGUCCCUAUGGGUCUCAAUGGGGCAAUGUGUGUCCCCAUAUGUCCCUAUAUGUUCCCAUAUGUCCCCAUAUGUCCCCACGUGUCCCUAUGGGUCUCUAUGGGUCCCUAUGUAUCCCCAUGGAUUCCUAUGGGGCAAUGUGGGUCCCUAUAUAUCCCUAUGGGUCUCUAUGGGGCAAUGUGGGUCCCCAUACAUCCCCACGUGUCCCUAUAGCUCUCC
Phasianus colchicus (ring-necked pheasant) is the source of this 1904-nucleotide long non-coding RNA. The record is from Ensembl. Lineage: Eukaryota; Metazoa; Chordata; Aves; Galliformes; Phasianidae.